UGGGGAAUCUUGUUCAAUGGGGGCAACCCUGAAACAGCAAUGCCGCGUGGAUGACGAAGGCCUUCGGGUUGUAAAGUCCUUUCGAUAGGGAAGAAUAAAUGACGGUACCUAGAGAAGAAGCCACGGCUAAUCAUGUGCCAGCAGCCGCGGUAAGACAUGAGUGGCAAGCGUUAUCCGGAAUUACUGGGCGUAAAGAGCGCGUAGGCGGUUUAGAAAGUCAGAGGUGAAAAGUCAGGGCUCAACCUUGGCCUUGCCUUUGAAACUGCUAGACUAGAGUUCGGGAUAGGAGGGUGGAACUACCAGUGUAGCGGUGGAAUGCGUAGAUAUUGGUAGGAAUGCCGAUGACGAAGGUAGCUCUCUGGACCGAAACUGACGCUGAGGUGCGAAAGCUAGGGGAGCAAACAGG
Molecule: ribosomal RNA, 406 nt
Filed under: uncultured bacterium
Lineage: Bacteria
Description: bacterial SSU rRNA
Rfam family: Bacterial small subunit ribosomal RNA
Source: RNAcentral